CAGCUCUUCUAUGUGCAUACACUGGACAAGCUGCUUUCCUUAGGAAGCACAAUGAUCUUGUCUCCGAAACCUUUUACAAGUCUAUACCAGACCCUCUCUACUGGCCCAUGUUUGCGGUGGCUGUGAUGGCUUCAAUCAUUGCAAGUCAAGCCAUGAUUUCUGGGACCUUUUCUAUCAUCCAGCAAUCGCUCUCACUCGGAUGCUUCCCUCGUGUGAAAAUUGUGCACACAUCGACCAAAUAUGAAGGAAGCAUCCGAGUGAGAGCGAUUGCUGG
This 274-nucleotide unclassified non-coding RNA is filed under the name Hevea brasiliensis (rubber tree). The record is from RNAcentral. Lineage: Eukaryota; Viridiplantae; Streptophyta; Magnoliopsida; Malpighiales; Euphorbiaceae.